UACGUAGGGUGCGAGCGUUGUCCGGAAUUAUUGGGCGUAAAGAGCUCGUAGGCGGUGUGUCGCGUCGGCCGUGAAAACCUGGGGCUUAACUCUGGGCGUGCGGUCGAUACGGGCAUCACUAGAGUUCGGCAGGGGAGAUUGGAAUUCCUGGUGUAGCGGUGAAAUGCGCAGAUAUCAGGAGGAACACCGGUGGCGAAGGCGGGUCUCUGGGCCGAUACUGACGCUGAGGAGCGAAAGCAUAGGUAGCGAACAGG
RNAcentral lists this ribosomal RNA (254 nucleotides) under uncultured bacterium. Its description in RNAcentral is "partial 16S ribosomal RNA". It matches the Rfam family "Bacterial small subunit ribosomal RNA", at positions 524 to 776 of the family's 1533-position model. The record is from RNAcentral.